UACGAAGGGGGCUAGCGUUGCUCGGAAUCACUGGGCGUAAAGCGCACGUAGGCGGGUUGUUAAGUCGGGGGUGAAAUCCUGGAGCUCAACUCCAGAACUGCCUUCGAUACUGGCGACCUUGAGUCCGGGAGAGGUGAGUGGAACUCCGAGUGUAGAGGUGAAAUUCGUAGAUAUUCGGAAGAACACCAGUGGCGAAGGCGGCUCACUGGCCCGGUAUUGACGCUGAGGCGCGAAAGCCAGGGGAGCAAACGGG
Molecule: ribosomal RNA, 253 nt
Filed under: uncultured bacterium
Lineage: Bacteria
Description: partial 16S ribosomal RNA
Rfam family: Bacterial small subunit ribosomal RNA
Source: RNAcentral